RNAcentral lists this small RNA (534 nucleotides) under Histoplasma capsulatum var. duboisii H88. RNAcentral describes it as "Histoplasma capsulatum H88 hypothetical RNA". The record is from RNAcentral. Lineage: Eukaryota; Fungi; Ascomycota; Eurotiomycetes; Onygenales; Ajellomycetaceae.
CAGUAUUUGGGUCAAUAUUCGGACUUAUUCAGUUCCGACAGUUAUGAGCCCAGGUUAGCUACCUAUCACUAUACUUAUAUCUAUUUGAUUAUGGCUAUUUAUCCAAUCUCACCGACCUCCUUAUCGGGGAUGAUAUCAGCAUAUCCUAUAUUCUAUCAAUCCUAUAUCAAUCUAUAUCUGUUUGAUCUAUAAUAUCAACUGAUUCAUCGAUUUCCUAUAUCAACAUUAUUGCUAUCAAGAUGGCAAAAGAGAUUAGCUUAUUCAAAUUGAUAAUUACUCUAGAUUCUUUCCAGAAUUGAAAUCUGUGGUACAAAAUAAUACUAGAUCUAGUCAUAGAAAACAGUGUGCUGGAAUUCAUUGAUGAUGAAAGCUCUGAUCAGAUUGAUCAACUAUCUGUUUCAUUUUGUUCUAGUAUUUCAACUGAAUAUACUUCUGAAGCAAGAAUUUGAUGAGAAAUAGAACAUAUUCAAUAUAACAAUGAAAUGAUAAAAUAUUGAAGGAGAAUUGAUAGUAUUGGUAAGGUUAAACACGAGA